UUGAGCUGUACGAGAUGAAAGUCUCAUAUACGGUUCUCAGGGGGGGAGUUCCGCCUAUCUCAAU
Molecule: non-coding RNA, 64 nt
Organism: Capsicum annuum
Lineage: Eukaryota; Viridiplantae; Streptophyta; Magnoliopsida; Solanales; Solanaceae
Source: Rfam